AUGGCUUCCGGCGCGUUGCGUCGCCGCCGAGGCGCUCCGUUCAGGGUCUCGGUUAUCCUUAUCGCCGCCGCCCUGGUCCGCCUCGCCGCGUCGGCUGCUGAUGCGGCGGAGAGGACGGCGGCGAGCGGCCCGGAGCCGGACUGGCACGUCGUCAGCGUCGCCUCGCUGCUGCCGCCCGCGGCAUGCACGGCGUCCAAGGCAGCGGCAUCAAACUCGUCGGCCCUCAACGUCGUGCACCGGCACGGCCCGUGCUCGCCGCUGCAGGCUCGGGGCACGCCGCCGCCCCACGCCGAGCUCCUCAACGACGACCAGGCCAGGGUCCACUCCAUACACCGCAAGAUCGCCGCGGCGGCGUCGCCCGUGUCGGACCGAGCCCGUGGCGCGAAGGGCGUGACCCUGCCGGCGCAGCGGGGCAUCUCCCUCGGCACCGGCAACUACGUCGUGUCCGUGGGCCUCGGCACCCCGGCCAGGGGCAUGACGGUGGUGUUCGACACCGGCAGCGACCUGUCUUGGGUGCAGUGCACGCCGUGCUCGGACUGCUACGAGCAGAAGGACCCGCUCUUCGACCCGGCGCGGUCCUCGACGUACUCCGCCGUGCCCUGCGCCGCGCCGGAGUGCCAGGGGCUGGACUCGCGGAGCUGCUCGCCGGACAGGAAAUGCCGGUACGAGGUCGUGUACGGCGACCAGUCGCAGACCGACGGCGCCCUGGCGCGCGACACGCUGACGCUGACGCCGUCCGACACGCUCCCGGGGUUCGUCUUCGGGUGCGGCGAACGGGACACCGGCCUGUUCGGCAGGGCCGACGGGCUCGUCGGGCUCGGCCGCGAGAAGGUGUCGCUGUCGUCCCAGGCGGCGUCCAAGUACGGGGCGGGGUUCUCCUACUGCCUCCCGUCGUCGUCCAGCGCCGCGGGGUACCUGUCCCUCGGCGGGCCGGCGCCGGCGAACGCACGAUUCACGGCGAUGGAGACCCGCCGCGACACGCCGUCGUUCUACUAUGUCGGCCUCGUCGGCGUCAAGGUCGCCGGGCGGACGGUCAGGGUCUCCCCCGUCGUGUUCGCGGCCGCCGGCACGGUGAUCGACUCGGGGACGGUGAUCACCCGCCUGCCGCCGCGCGCGUACGCCGCGCUCCGGUCGAAGUUCGCGCGCUCCAUGGGCAGGUACGGGUACAAGAGGGCGCCCGCGCUGUCCAUCCUGGACACGUGCUACGACUUCACGGGGCACACGACGGUGCGCAUACCGUCGGUGGCGCUGGUGUUCGCCGGCGGCGCCGCCGUGGGGCUCGACUUCAGCGGGGUGCUGUACGUGGCCAAGGUGGCGCAGGCGUGCCUGGCGUUCGCGGCCAACGGCGACGGCGCGGACGUCGGCAUCCUCGGGAACACGCAGCAGAAGACGCUCGCGGUGGUGUACGACGUCGCCAACAACAAGAUCGGGUUCGGCGCCAACGGCUGCAGCUGA
This 1455-nucleotide ribosomal RNA is filed under the name Triticum aestivum (bread wheat). Its description in RNAcentral is "partial small subunit ribosomal RNA". Lineage: Eukaryota; Viridiplantae; Streptophyta; Magnoliopsida; Poales; Poaceae. The record is from RNAcentral.